GACGAACGCUGGCGGCGUGCCUAAUACAUGCAAGUAGAACGCUGAAGGAGGAGCUUGCUUCUCUGGAUGAGUUGCGAACGGGUGAGUAACGCGUAGGUAACCUGCCUGGUAGCGGGGGAUAACUAUUGGAAACGAUAGCUAAUACCGCAUAAUAGCAGUUAUUGCAUGAUAACUGUUUGAAAGGUGCAAUUGCACCACUACCAGAUGGACCUGCGUUGUAUUAGCUAGUUGGUGGGGUAACGGCUCACCAAGGCGACGAUACAUAGCCGACCUGAGAGGGUGAUCAGCCACACUGGGACUGAGACACGGCCCAGACUCCUACGGGAGGCAGCAGUAGGGAAUCGUCGGCAAUGGACGGAAGUCUGACCGAGCAACGCCGCGUGAGUGAAGAAGGUUUUCGGAUCGUAAAGCUCUGUUGUAAGAGAAGAACGAGUGUGAGAGUGGAAAGUUCACACUGUGACGGUAUCUUACCAGAAAGGGACGGCUAACUACGUG
This 495-nucleotide ribosomal RNA is filed under the name uncultured bacterium. Its description in RNAcentral is "partial 16S ribosomal RNA". It matches the Rfam family "Bacterial small subunit ribosomal RNA", at positions 28 to 507 of the family's 1533-position model. The record is from RNAcentral.